Non-coding RNA from Paramuricea clavata, 288 nucleotides. The record is from the annotation of a GenBank genome assembly. Lineage: Eukaryota; Metazoa; Cnidaria; Anthozoa; Malacalcyonacea; Plexauridae.
CCCUGCAAAAGUGAACCAAAAAUGAAGGAAUUUCCAUGGGAGGGUCCAAAUUUUAAAGCAAAUCUGCGGAAAUUCCAAAGGGUAGGUAAGAAAAAUGAGUAAAACGUAUGGAAUUUCCAUGGGAGGGUCAAUAAUGGAAAAGAAAUUCCAAAGGAUAGGAUCAAAAUCAGCAAGGAAUUUUCCAAGGGAUAGCUACUAAUCAAAGAGUCAAUACGGAAUUUCCACUGGCUAGAUAAAAAACUGUCAAGGAAUUUCCAUGGGAUGGGUUAAAAGUUCAUAAAAAAUUUG